ACUAUUUUGGCAGAAAAGUGUAAUGAUUUUAGAAGUCAUCAAUGUAUAAUUGUUUAUAUAUAUAGUA
This 67-nucleotide transfer RNA is filed under the name Cechenena minor. RNAcentral describes it as "tRNA-Leu". Lineage: Eukaryota; Metazoa; Arthropoda; Insecta; Lepidoptera; Sphingidae. The record is from RNAcentral.